UACACAGUUCAUCAGGACCAGCAUGAUGGU
Molecule: non-coding RNA, 30 nt
Filed under: Mus musculus (house mouse)
Lineage: Eukaryota; Metazoa; Chordata; Mammalia; Rodentia; Muridae
Source: RNAcentral